Molecule: ribosomal RNA, 437 nt
Filed under: uncultured bacterium
Lineage: Bacteria
Description: bacterial SSU rRNA
Rfam family: Bacterial small subunit ribosomal RNA
Source: RNAcentral
UACGGGAGGCAGCAGUGGGGAAUAUUGCACAAUGGGCGCAAGCCUGAUGCAGCCAUGCCGCGUGUAUGAAGAAGGCCUUCGGGUUGUAAAGUACUUUCAGUCGUGAGGAAGGUGUUAAGGUUAAUAACCUUAGCAAUUGACGUUAGCGACAGAAGAAGCACCGGCUAACUCCGUGCCAGCAGCCGCGGUAAUACGGAGGGUGCGAGCGUUAAUCGGAAUUACUGGGCGUAAAGGGCACGCAGGCGGUUAAUUAAGUUGGAUGUGAAAUCCCCGGGCUUAACCUGGGAAUGGCAUUCAAGACUGGUUAGCUAGAGUCUUGUAGAGGGGGUAGAAUUCCAUGUGUAGCGGUGAAAUGCGUAGAGAUGUGGAGGAAUACCGGUGGCGAAGGCGGCCCCUGGACAAGACUGACGCUCAUGUGCGAAAGCGUGGGGAGCAAA